AUGGUGUUCCACGCAGCUGGUUCGGCCGGGCCCUCACGGGUCCGUCCGAGGCAACAGGGAACCCGGUGCAAGGCCGGGACUGCCCCGCAGCGGUGAGUGGGAACGACAACCGUCAGGUAAGCACUGGGCCCGUCCCGGGCCUGGGAAGCGACGGUCGGUAGGUGGCUCUGGCGACAAGCCGGAGCCGUGCCCACGAGUCCGAAGACCUGCCAGCGUGCCGUGCAUCGC
This 228-nucleotide non-coding RNA is filed under the name Actinoplanes derwentensis. The record is from RNAcentral. Lineage: Bacteria; Bacillati; Actinomycetota; Actinomycetes; Micromonosporales; Micromonosporaceae.